Molecule: ribosomal RNA, 433 nt
Filed under: uncultured bacterium
Lineage: Bacteria
Description: partial 16S ribosomal RNA
Rfam family: Bacterial small subunit ribosomal RNA
Source: RNAcentral
AGCGAACGCUGGCGGCAGGCCUAACACAUGCAAGUCGAACGAACUCUUCGGAGUUAGUGGCGGACGGGUGAGUAACACGUGGGAACGUGCCUUUAGGUUCGGAAUAACUCAGGGAAACUUGAGCUAAUACCGGAUGUGCCCUUCGGGGGAAAGAUUUAUCGCCUUUAGAGCGGCCCGCGUCUGAUUAGCUAGUUGGUGAGGUAAAGGCUCACCAAGGCGACGAUCAGUAGCUGGUCUGAGAGGAUGAUCAGCCACAUUGGGACUGAGACACGGCCCAAACUCCUACGGGAGGCAGCAGUGGGGAAUCUUGCGCAAUGGGCGAAAGCCUGACGCAUCCAUGCCGCGUGAAUGAUGAAGGUCUUAGGAUUGUAAAAUUCUUUCACCGGGGACGAUAAUGACGGUACCCGGAGAAGAAGCCCCGGCUAACUUCGUG